UUUUCAGACAAAAUGCCCUUGGGUUUUGAGGGGUCGCAGUGUGAAGGAAACAAAGUGUUUCUGUCUCACGAAAUACCAUCCAAUUCAUGAAUGUGAUCUUAGGUCUAUCACCAAUCCACGUCCUAAAGUUGCAAUAUUAUGGACGCGCAAUAUGAAUUUGGUAUGAAAAUAAGCUAUGCCACAGCUUGGAGGAUCAAUGAAUGCGC
This 206-nucleotide long non-coding RNA is filed under the name Prunus persica (peach). RNAcentral describes it as "long non-coding RNA (PPER_LNC005889)". The record is from RNAcentral. Lineage: Eukaryota; Viridiplantae; Streptophyta; Magnoliopsida; Rosales; Rosaceae.